This 663-nucleotide ribosomal RNA is filed under the name Cedecea sp. RNAcentral describes it as "bacterial SSU rRNA". It matches the Rfam family "Bacterial small subunit ribosomal RNA", at positions 786 to 1449 of the family's 1533-position model. The record is from RNAcentral. Lineage: Bacteria; Pseudomonadati; Pseudomonadota; Gammaproteobacteria; Enterobacterales; Enterobacteriaceae.
CCUGGUAGUCCACGCCGUAAACGAUGUCGACUUGGAGGUUGUGCCCUUGAGGCGUGGCUUCCGGAGCUAACGCGUUAAGUCGACCGCCUGGGGAGUACGGCCGCAAGGUUAAAACUCAAAUGAAUUGACGGGGGCCCGCACAAGCGGUGGAGCAUGUGGUUUAAUUCGAUGCAACGCGAAGAACCUUACCUACUCUUGACAUCCAGAGAACUUUCCAGAGAUGGAUUGGUGCCUUCGGGAACUCUGAGACAGGUGCUGCAUGGCUGUCGUCAGCUCGUGUUGUGAAAUGUUGGGUUAAGUCCCGCAACGAGCGCAACCCUUAUCCUUUGUUGCCAGCGGUUAGGCCGGGAACUCAAAGGAGACUGCCAGUGAUAAACUGGAGGAAGGUGGGGAUGACGUCAAGUCAUCAUGGCCCUUACGAGUAGGGCUACACACGUGCUACAAUGGCGCAUACAAAGAGAAGCGACCUCGCGAGAGCAAGCGGACCUCAUAAAGUGCGUCGUAGUCCGGAUUGGAGUCUGCAACUCGACUCCAUGAAGUCGGAAUCGCUAGUAAUCGUAGAUCAGAAUGCUACGGUGAAUACGUUCCCGGGCCUUGUACACACCGCCCGUCACACCAUGGGAGUGGGUUGCAAAAGAAGUAGGUAGCUUAACCUUCGGGAGG